GUGCUUCUUCUUCUCCUAGUUCCCUUCUCUCACCCUCUCUCACUCCUCCGUCUCCGCCUCUCUUUCUUCUUUUAUUUCUCGACGAGUUUAUGGCGGAUCGGAAAACGGAAGGUGUCAUUGGAUUCGUAACUCCGCCACCGACAUUUCUACUGGAGCAGAUUUGUCGUGGGAACGGCUUAGGCACUACUCCUGGGGAAAGGAUUUCUCAGGAUCGAGCUUGAGAGCUCGAGAUUUUAUAAUAUUUUUGGAAGAUAUAAGAAAAAUGGUCUUACAGGAAACCGGACCUAGCAUUGUAGAGGGUUCUGGAGUGUAGUGUUUUGGGAGUCCUUUUUGUAAGUACUUGUGUAAGUACUAGACCAUGGUCAGGUUAUCUUUUUGGGAUUGUAAUAGAAACAUUUGAAGUAUUUAUGCAAUAGUAAUGACUUAGAACUCUA
Molecule: long non-coding RNA, 434 nt
Organism: Malania oleifera
Lineage: Eukaryota; Viridiplantae; Streptophyta; Magnoliopsida; Santalales; Ximeniaceae
Exons: 3
Source: RefSeq, a predicted model, not a curated record